Molecule: ribosomal RNA, 253 nt
Filed under: uncultured bacterium
Lineage: Bacteria
Description: partial 16S ribosomal RNA
Rfam family: Bacterial small subunit ribosomal RNA
Source: RNAcentral
UACGUAGGGGGCUAGCGUUGUCCGGAAUCAUUGGGCGUAAAGCGCGUGUAGGCGGUCCGGUAAGUCCGCUGUGAAAGUCGGGGGCUCAACCCUCGGAUGCCGGUGGAUACUGUCGGGCUUGAGUACGGAAGAGGCGAGUGGAAUUCCUGGUGUAGCGGUGAAAUGCGCAGAUAUCAGGAGGAACACCAGUGGCGAAGGCGGCACUCUGGGCCGGUACUGACGCUGAGGAGCGAAAGCGUGGGGAGCGAACAGG